Molecule: long non-coding RNA, 1676 nt
Organism: Brassica napus (rape)
Lineage: Eukaryota; Viridiplantae; Streptophyta; Magnoliopsida; Brassicales; Brassicaceae
Exons: 8
Source: RefSeq, a predicted model, not a curated record
CCCUUAGAAGAUGUCCACGUCCUCAAAAAAAUUUAGCCAAUUAAAGAUCUUUUAAUCAGCCACGUCAUUUAAGUUAAGUUGUAAUGGACAUUUUGUGUGGGCUUUGUUUAAAUAAUAAUUUAGCCCAGCCCCACUCUCUGUCGACAAACUCUUUUACGGUUUUGAGAGUCAUAACUCUUCCAUUUCUGUCGCUUCCAAUUUCAGAGUUUUAGGUUACUUUGAUCCCUCCGAAUCAAUCAAUGAUUUGCAUUCCUAAUUGUCGUCUUCAAAACUGUAAUCUCUGGAUGACGAUUCACUCUUCACGUAUUCCUCCACUAUGUAUAUGAUGCUCCAGAUUUACACGGCUGCCAUAUAUAUAUUCAUCACUCUUCCUCCACGUAUACUCUAUUGGUGUGACUCUUAAAGUCUCUAACCCAUCAUCGCAGCAAUCCCUCCCACUGUUUUUUCCGAUGAAACUUCAGUCUCAGACUUGCAGUCAUAAAUGGUCAUGGAGAUUUUCGGUACAGCAAUUGUCAAAUCCCCGCGGUGGAACUUGCUGAGUCAAUGGCUACAAUGGGACAUCGUUUUACUUAUCAUUAGUUGACUGAAAUUAUGACGGAUGUUGAUUAUUACGUGAGGGCGUUAUGAGUUUCAGUAUAUACUGAAUUCGACCAACUAUACAUUUUUGUAAUCAUUUUCAGGAUAACAAGGAUGCAAGUGGUGAGAACAAUUUAAUUGGUCAGAUCUUGGUAUGGGGGUUCUAUAUCAUUUAUUUGUUGAAGAAUGGGUUACUGUGUCUUAGACCAAAAAAAAAAAAGGUUACUGUGUCAACAAAGAGCCCAAAGUCUGGUAAGCAAUAUGUAUGGGAAGGAGAAGCAGAUUCACGCAAUUAUACCAUUAAAGAAGGGACUGAUUCUCAGCUAAUCAUUCCUAGAGGGACAUGUAUUACUUAGCACCUUAAGAAAAACUUUCAACGAGUAUCCAUGCAUUGGCAUGCAUCAUCCCACUUCCCAACAGAGCCUGAGGUCGAGUUUAGAUCCAUCUUUUAUGUGCCACCAGUCUCACCAAUUGGACAGGAUGACGUGGUUAAUUAAAAGACAAAGAACAUAAGGCUCUAUGUAAAACAAGUUUCAAGUGAUUUUGACGAGAAGCUGGUGAGAGAAGUAUCUCUAUGGACAGCUACUCUUUGGUCAUUUUUUUGUUUCAUUGGUAUUUUCUCAAGGGUGUUAUGGACUCACACGAUCUCCCGUUAACGUGUCUCAUGAGAUUCUUUAAGAAAAUUGCAUUGUGUGUAUCAUGAAGAAAUGUCUGGUGGAGAAAGCUUCUGGUAUGAUUUUGAGAAUUUACUUGAGUGAGAAUAGAGAAAGUGUAGAGUUCAUGUUCGUGAUGUUCCUAAUGAUGAAGAGUGUGGAGUUUCUGUUCAUGAGGACAAGUACGUGAUGAACUCUCUUUUGGUUAGCCUGAGAACUCUUUCUGGAUUAUAAACGCUUUUAUUCUUUUUGGUUUGCUGGAGACUUUUCGAGUUAUUAAGCAUGUCUUGUGCUCUUGAGGAAUUGUACUAUUGUGGAAAGACCAAAAGAUAAUUAUACAGGUGACUAGAACCAAAUUGGCAUUUGCUGGUUUAAAUCAGUACGGUAUAUAUGCAGUAUAUCUGUAUAUAUGUACUAGAUGGGCCUAAUCAAAUGUUUUCGUAAAAA